Molecule: long non-coding RNA, 84 nt
Organism: Sinocyclocheilus anshuiensis
Lineage: Eukaryota; Metazoa; Chordata; Actinopteri; Cypriniformes; Cyprinidae
Exons: 3
Source: RefSeq, a predicted model, not a curated record
UUUUUUAAACCGGUAAACUCCUGUAAACUUUUCAGUCCAAAGAUCCAGUAAACGAAUGCCUUCAAACAUUAAAUUAAAAACAGC